Molecule: ribosomal RNA, 120 nt
Filed under: Castor canadensis (American beaver)
Lineage: Eukaryota; Metazoa; Chordata; Mammalia; Rodentia; Castoridae
Source: RNAcentral
GUCUCUGGCCAUACCACCCUAAAAAUGCACUAUUUCAUCUGGUCUUGGAAGCUAAGCAGGGUCAGGCCUGGUUAGUACUUGGAUGGAAGACAGAUCUUCAAAAGAGACUUCUCAGAGACA